AAAAACUCCGGUGGUAUGAGAUGGACCCGCGUCUGAUUAGCUAGUUGGUGGGGUAACGGCCCACCAAGGCGACGAUCAGUAGCCGACCUGAGAGGGUGACCGACCACAUUGGGACUGAGACACGGCCCAAACUCCUACGGGAGGCAGCAGUGGGGAAUAUUGCACAAUGGGGGAAACCCUGAUGCAGCAACGCCGCGUGAGUGAAGAAGUAUUUCGGUAUGUAAAGCUCUAUCAGCAGGGAAGAAAAUGACGGUACCUGAGUAAGAAGCCCCGGCUAACUACGUGCCAGCAGCCGCGGUAAUACGUAGGGGGCAAGCGUUAUCCGGAUUUACUGGGUGUAAAGGGAGCGUAGACGGCGAUGCAAGUCUGAAGUGAAAGCCCGGGGCUCAACCCCGGGACUGCUUUGGAAACUGUAUGGCUGGAGUGCUGGAGAGGCAAGCGGAAUUCCUAGUGUAGCGGUGAAAUGCGUAGAUAUUAGGAAGAACACCAGUGGCGAAGGCGGCUUGCUGGACAGUAACUGACGUUGAGGCUCGAAAGCGUGGGGAGCAAACAGGAUUAGAUACCCUGGUAGUCCACGCUGUAAACGAUGAAUGCUAGGUGUUGGGGAGCAAAGCUUCUCG
RNAcentral lists this ribosomal RNA (620 nucleotides) under uncultured bacterium. RNAcentral's name for it is "bacterial SSU rRNA". It matches the Rfam family "Bacterial small subunit ribosomal RNA", at positions 202 to 842 of the family's 1533-position model. The record is from RNAcentral.